Molecule: non-coding RNA, 30 nt
Filed under: Mus musculus (house mouse)
Lineage: Eukaryota; Metazoa; Chordata; Mammalia; Rodentia; Muridae
Source: RNAcentral
GAUAACCACGAAGGACCCAUUAUCAGGCCC